RNAcentral lists this ribosomal RNA (445 nucleotides) under Arthrobacter sp. YIM KMY35. RNAcentral's name for it is "bacterial SSU rRNA". It matches the Rfam family "Bacterial small subunit ribosomal RNA", at positions 32 to 475 of the family's 1533-position model. Lineage: Bacteria; Bacillati; Actinomycetota; Actinomycetes; Micrococcales; Micrococcaceae. The record is from RNAcentral.
AACGCUGGCGGCGUGCUUAACACAUGCAAGUCGAACGAUGAUCUCCAGCUUGCUGGGGGGAUUAGUGGCGAACGGGUGAGUAACACGUGAGUAACCUGCCCUUGACUCUGGGAUAAGCCUGGGAAACCGGGUCUAAUACUGGAUACGACCUUCUGGCGCAUGCCAUGUUGGUGGAAAGCUUUUGUGGUUUUGGAUGGACUCGCGGCCUAUCAGCUUGUUGGUGGGGUAAUGGCCUACCAAGGCGACGACGGGUAGCCGGCCUGAGAGGGUGACCGGCCACACUGGGACUGAGACACGGCCCAGACUCCUACGGGAGGCAGCAGUGGGGAAUAUUGCACAAUGGGCGCAAGCCUGAUGCAGCGACGCCGCGUGAGGGAUGAAGGCCUUCGGGUUGUAAACCUCUUUCAGUAGGGAAGAAGCCGCUCCUUUUUGGGGGUGGUGACGG